GCGCCUUUAGUUCAGUCCGGUAGAACGCGGGUCUCCAAAACCCGAUGUCGUAGGUUCAAAUCCUGCAGGGCGUG
RNAcentral lists this transfer RNA (74 nucleotides) under Elaphoglossum yoshinagae. RNAcentral's name for it is "tRNA-Trp". It matches the Rfam family "tRNA". Rfam says of the family: Transfer RNA (tRNA) molecules are approximately 80 nucleotides in length. Their secondary structure includes four short double-helical elements and three loops (D, anti-codon, and T loops). The record is from RNAcentral. RNAcentral also lists the same sequence under 11 other names. Lineage: Eukaryota; Viridiplantae; Streptophyta; Polypodiopsida; Polypodiales; Dryopteridaceae.